This 498-nucleotide ribosomal RNA is filed under the name uncultured bacterium. Its description in RNAcentral is "bacterial SSU rRNA". It matches the Rfam family "Bacterial small subunit ribosomal RNA", at positions 25 to 518 of the family's 1533-position model. The record is from RNAcentral.
CAGGACGAACGCUGGCGGCGUGCUAACACAUGCAAGUCGAACGGGGAUUAUUGAGCGGAAGGCUUCGGCCGAAAGGUUGGUAAUUCGAGUGGCGGACGGGUGAGUAACGCGUGAGCAACCUGUCCCAGACAGGGGGAUAACACUUGGAAACAGGUGCUAAUACCGCAUAAGACCACGGGGUCACAUGGCCCAGGGGUAAAAGGAGCAAUCCGGUUUGGGGUGGGCUCGCGUCCGAUUAGCCAGUUGGUGAGGUAACGGCCCACCAAAGCGACGAUCGGUAGCCGACCUGAGAGGGUGAUCGGCCACAUUGGAACUGAGAGACGGUCCAAACUCCUACGGGAGGCAGCAGUGGGGAAUAUUGGGCAAUGGGCGAAAGCCUGACCCAGCAACGCCGCGUGAGUGAAGAAGGCCUUCGGGUUGUAAAGCUCUGUUAUAGUUGACGAAGGAAGUGACGGUAGGCUAUAAGGAAGCCCCGGCUAACUACGUGCCAGCCGCCGC